UACGGGGGGGGUAAGCGUUGUUCGGAAUUACUGGGCGUAAAGGGCUCGUAGGCGGCCAACUAAGUCGGACGUGAAAUCCCUCAGCUUAACUGGGGAACUGCGUCCGAUACUGGAUGGCUUGGAUUUGGGAGAGGGAUGCGGAAUUCCAGGUGUAGCGGUGAAAUGCGUAGAUAUCUGGAGGAAUACCGGUGGCGAAGGCGGCAUCCUGGACCAUUACUGACGCUGAGGCGCGAAAGCUAGGGGAGCAAACGGG
Molecule: ribosomal RNA, 253 nt
Filed under: uncultured bacterium
Lineage: Bacteria
Description: partial 16S ribosomal RNA
Rfam family: Bacterial small subunit ribosomal RNA
Source: RNAcentral